Molecule: ribosomal RNA, 305 nt
Filed under: uncultured bacterium
Lineage: Bacteria
Description: bacterial SSU rRNA
Rfam family: Bacterial small subunit ribosomal RNA
Source: RNAcentral
GAAUGCCUACGGGAGGCAGCAGUAGGGAAUCUUCCACAAUGGGCGAAAGCCUGAUGGAGCAACGCCGCGUGGGUGAAGAAGGUCUUCGGAUCGUAAAACCCUGUUGUUAGAGAAGAAAGUGCGUGAGAGUAACUGUUCACGUUUCGACGGUAUCUAACCAGAAAGCCACGGCUAACUACGUGCCAGCAGCCGCGGUAAUACGUAGGUGGCAAGCGUUAUCCGGAUUUAUUGGGCGUAAAGGGAACGCAGGCGGUAUUUUAAGUCUGAUGUGAAAGCCUUCGGCCUAACCGGAGUAGUGCAUUGGG